RNAcentral lists this ribosomal RNA (253 nucleotides) under uncultured bacterium. Its description in RNAcentral is "partial 16S ribosomal RNA". It matches the Rfam family "Bacterial small subunit ribosomal RNA", at positions 524 to 776 of the family's 1533-position model. The record is from RNAcentral.
UACGGGGGGGGCAAGCGUUGUUCGGAAUUACUGGGCGUAAAGGGCUCGUAGGCGGCCAUCUAAGUCAGACGUGAAAUCCCUCGGCUUAACCGGGGAACUGCGUCUGAUACUGGACGGCUUGAGUUUGGGAGAGGGAUGCGGAAUUCCAGGUGUAGCGGUGAAAUGCGUAGAUAUCUGGAGGAACACCGGUGGCGAAGGCGGCAUCCUGGACCAACACUGACGCUGAGGAGCGAAAGCCAGGGGAGCAAACGGG